Molecule: ribosomal RNA, 253 nt
Filed under: uncultured bacterium
Lineage: Bacteria
Description: partial 16S ribosomal RNA
Rfam family: Bacterial small subunit ribosomal RNA
Source: RNAcentral
UACGGAGGAUGCGAGCGUUAUCCGGAUUCAUUGGGUUUAAAGGGUGCGUAGGCGGACUAAUAAGUCAGUGGUGAAAUUUUGCAGCUUAACUGUAAACGUGCCGUUGAUACUGUUAGUCUUGAGUAUGGUCAAGGUAGGCGGAAUGUGUAAUGUAGCGGUGAAAUGCUUAGAUAUUACACAGAACACCGAUUGCGAAGGCAGCUUACUGGGCCACCACUGACGCUGAUGCACGAAAGCGUGGGGAGCGAACAGG